RNAcentral lists this ribosomal RNA (262 nucleotides) under uncultured bacterium. RNAcentral's name for it is "partial 16S ribosomal RNA". It matches the Rfam family "Bacterial small subunit ribosomal RNA", at positions 1 to 263 of the family's 1533-position model. The record is from RNAcentral.
UCAGAGUUUAUCUGGCUCAGGACGAACGCUGGCGGCGUGCCUAACACAUGCAAGUCGAGCGGAGACAGUGAGUAGCUUGCUAUGAGCUGUUUUAGCGGCGGACGGGUGAGUAACGCGUGAGCAACCUUUCCCAGACAGGGGAAUAACACACCGAAAGGUGUACUAAUACCGCAUAAGACCACGGGAUCACAUGGUUCUGGGGUAAAAGAUUUAUCGGUUUGGGGUGGGCUCGCGUCCGAUUAGGUAGUUGGUGAGGUAACGG